RNAcentral lists this ribosomal RNA (241 nucleotides) under Bacillus sp. 418b_13T. RNAcentral describes it as "partial 16S ribosomal RNA". It matches the Rfam family "Bacterial small subunit ribosomal RNA", at positions 126 to 357 of the family's 1533-position model. Lineage: Bacteria; Bacillati; Bacillota; Bacilli; Caryophanales; Bacillaceae. The record is from RNAcentral. RNAcentral also lists the same sequence under 1 other name.
CUGCCUGUAAGACUGGGAUAACUCCGGGAAACCGGAGCUAAUACCGGAUAGUUCCUUGAACCGCAUGGUUCAAGGAUGAAAGACGGUUUCGGCUGUCACUUACAGAUGGACCCGCGGCGCAUUAGCUAGUUGGUGGGGUAAUGGCUCACCAAGGCGACGAUGCGUAGCCGACCUGAGAGGGUGAUCGGCCACACUGGGACUGAGACACGGCCCAGACUCCUACGGGAGGCAGCAGUGGUCA